Schistosoma mattheei is the source of this 45-nucleotide non-coding RNA. Lineage: Eukaryota; Metazoa; Platyhelminthes; Trematoda; Strigeidida; Schistosomatidae. The record is from Rfam.
AUCCAGGUGAGGAGUCCCAAAUAGGACGAAACGCACAUCAUGUAU